RNAcentral lists this ribosomal RNA (492 nucleotides) under uncultured bacterium. RNAcentral describes it as "partial 16S ribosomal RNA". It matches the Rfam family "Bacterial small subunit ribosomal RNA", at positions 29 to 507 of the family's 1533-position model. The record is from RNAcentral.
AGUGAACGCUGGCGGUAGGCCUAACACAUGCAAGUCGAACGGCAGCACAGUAAGAGCUUGCUCUUACGGGUGGCGAGUGGCGGACGGGUGAGGAAUACAUCGGAAUCUACUUUUUCGUGGGGGAUAACGUAGGGAAACUUACGCUAAUACCGCAUACGACCUACGGGUGAAAGCAGGGGAUCUUCGGACCUUGCGCGAUUGAAUGAGCCGAUGUCGGAUUAGCUAGUUGGCGGGGUAAAGGCCCACCAAGGCGACGAUCCGUAGCUGGUCUGAGAGGAUGAUCGGCCACACUGGAACUGAGACACGGUCCAGACUCCUACGGGAGGCAGCAGUGGGGAAUAUUCGACAAUGGGCGAAAGCCUGAUGCAGCCAUGCCGCGUGGGUGAAGAAGGCCUUCGGGUUGUAAAGCCCUUUUAUUGGGGAAGAAAAGCAGUAUGUGAAUCCCCCGCUGUUCUGACGGUACCCAAAGAAUAAGCACCGGCUAACUUCGUG